Molecule: ribosomal RNA, 253 nt
Filed under: uncultured bacterium
Lineage: Bacteria
Description: partial 16S ribosomal RNA
Rfam family: Bacterial small subunit ribosomal RNA
Source: RNAcentral
UACGUAGGGUGCAGGCGUUAACCGGAAUUACUGGGCGUAAAGCGUGCGCAGGCGGUUUUUUAAGUUAGAUGUGAAAGCCCCGGGCUUAACCUGGGAACUGCGUUUGAAACUGGGAGACUUGAGUGUGGCAGAGGGGGGUGGAAUUCCACGUGUAGCAGUGAAAUGCGUAGAUAUGUGGAGGAACACCGAUGGCGAAGGCAGCCCCCUGGGUUAACACUGACGCUCAUGCACGAAAGCGUGGGGAGCAAACAGG